This 253-nucleotide ribosomal RNA is filed under the name uncultured bacterium. Its description in RNAcentral is "partial 16S ribosomal RNA". It matches the Rfam family "Bacterial small subunit ribosomal RNA", at positions 524 to 776 of the family's 1533-position model. The record is from RNAcentral.
UACGAAGGGGGCUAGCGUUGUUCGGAAUCACUGGGCGUAAAGGGCGCGUAGGCGGCUGUUCAAGUCGGGGGUGAAAUCCCGUGGCUCAACCACGGAAUGGCCUUCGAUACUGGACGGCUCGAGACCGGAAGAGGUGAGUGGAACUGCGAGUGUAGAGGUGAAAUUCGUAGAUAUUCGCAAGAACACCAGUGGCGAAGGCGGCUCACUGGCCCGAUACUGACGCUGAGACGCGAAAGCGUGGGGAGCAAACAGG